GAUGAAGAACGUAGCGAAAUGCGAUAAGUAAUGUGAAUUGCAGAAUUCAGUGAAUCAUCGAAUCUUUGAACACACAUUGCGCCCAUUAGUAUUCUAGUGGGCAUGCCUGUUCGAGCGUCAUUUCAACCCUUAAGCCUAGCUUAGUGUUGGGAGACUGCCUAAUACGCAGCUCCUCAAAACCAGUGGCGGAGUCUGUUCGUGCUCUGAGCGUAGUAAUUUUUUAUCUCGCUUCUGCAAGCCGGCCAGACGACAGCCAUAAACCGCACCCUCUCGGGGGGCACUUUUUUAAUGGUUGACCUCGGAUCAGGUAGGAAUACCCGCUGAACUUAAGCAUAUCAAUAAGCGGAGGA
RNAcentral lists this unclassified non-coding RNA (350 nucleotides) under soil metagenome. Its description in RNAcentral is "partial contains 5.8S ribosomal RNA, internal transcribed spacer 2, and large subunit ribosomal RNA". The stretch from base 1 to 120 matches the Rfam family "5.8S ribosomal RNA", at positions 35 to 154 of the family's 154-position model. The record is from RNAcentral.